GGGCGCCACCGCCUCCCGCCGGGCCGCGGGGCCAGCGUCGCGGCCGCUCCGUUCCCUUCCCGCCGCGCUCUGCGGAGCGGUGCUAUGAGCAUAUCGAGGAAACGGAGCUUAACUGGCUGCAGUACCUUGAACCACGGCUACUCAACUAGAAUGAGUAACAUUGUAAUGGAACAGACAUAAGGGUACCAAAAGUAUUUUUGAAUGAGCACCUUGUUUCCAAAAGUGACUAUUAGCAGGUACCAAGGAAACAAGUGAGAAUUCCACAAGCUUAUAACCACAAAGAUGAUAAGAGGGAUGGAACAGGUAUCCUAUGAAGAUAAACUGAGAGAGUUGGGGCUGUUCAGCCUGGAGGAGGCUCCAGGGAGACCUUACAGCACCUUCCAGUACCUAAAGAGGACUUACAAAAAAAGGGGAGAGCGACUCCUUACUUGUACAGAUAGUGAUAGGACAAGGGGGGAACAUUUAUGAACUCAGAGAAGAGAGAUUUAGAUAGGUGUUUGGAAGAAAUUCUUUACUUAUAGGGUAGAGAGGUUCUGGAACAGUUUGCUCAGAGAAGCUGUGGAUGCCCAGUCCCUGGAAGUGUUCAAGGCCAGGUUGGAUGGGGCUCUGAGCAACCUGAUCGAAGUGAAAGGUGUCUCUGCUUUGACAGAGGGGUUGAAACUGGAUUAUCCUUAAGGUCCCUUCCAACACAAGCCUUUCUAUGAAUUUCUGUGAAUAUUUUCCCAGAUGUUUUUCCAGCUUCCAACCAGAUGGCAUCCUUUUUGCCUCACACCCCCCCUGCCACCCCCAGAUUUUUGUACCCAUCCUCAUAAGAUUGCUGUACCAUUCUCUGUGAACCCACAUCAAUCCCAGGCUUUGCCAAGGAGUACUGCAGGUCUAGUGCCAUCUUUAGGAAGAACCCUCUUGGCAUAUGUUGAACUCAAGGCCUGUGAGCUCCAAUUAUGGGCACCUUUGCUCUUGUACAAGGAGAUUGAGUGAACUGCCAGUGCCAGCAUAUUGUCUGUCCUGAUCCUGACUGUAUUCCACACAAUCCUCUAAACAGGCUGUUCAGGGCAGAGCCUUUUCAGGUCUCUCAGACCACUGUGUUACCUGCUGAGGCACCUUGCUGGUCUUUGGGAGGAAGGCAAUACUGAACACUCACAGCUUUUCUGGACUGGAGGCUGCAGGUCUGCCUGUGGUGAGCGGCCUCACAUAAGUGUUUGUAUUGUUUCCUCUUCUGUCUGCCAGGGAUGACUUUAAAAGAUUUUUCUCAUAAGUAAUAAGAUCAUUUAAAAUUAUUGCUUUUACAUAAUACUCGAUGUCUGUCUACACCUUACUUAAUUUUAGAGCAUAUCAGAUAUAAAGCCCUACCAGUGGCAAAUGUUUCCUUUUUCUUUUAAUAGGUACUUUCCAUGGAAUUUGUCAUUUAACAAUCUAAACUUUUUGAUCAAAUAAGAAACCUAUUUUAUGGGCUUGUUAAUUUAAGACUACCUAGGAUGAAAUUCAGGAUACCAUCCAAUAACCUUUGUAAAUGUUUGCUUUGUAUGUUUCUCAGAAAGCUUCACAAGCCAAUUAUUUCAGCUUCCAUAAUGAGCUGGUUUUGAUGUCUUGCUGUUCAACACACAUCGAGUUAAGAGUUGUCAUUAACUCUGUUGUCUUCUUUGUUCUGUAUGGUUCCAAGCACUUUGACAGAGUUCAAAUCAAUACUAAGUAACAAUGGAUGUUUUUUAGGCUUAAUUCCAGGUUUAGCUAUCAUGGAUGAAACUGCCAACAGAUCAGAAGAAUGCAUGAGCCUUUUCUUUCCCAUUGGUUUCAGAAGGCUUAGUGUCUGUGCUAGCCAGACUGGCUUUUAGCAUUUAGUCCCAAAACCUCAAUGUCCUGCUAUAAAAUGUUAUUUUCUGAUGGUGGGAAAAGCCACAGUUAUUAAAUGCCUGAAAUAAACAGCUAACAUCAUUCCUGCUUGAGAUUUAAUCCAAAAGAAUACAUCCAGUGGAAAGGUGGAAAGUGUUCUUCAAACACUGAAGUACAAAAAGAACCAAAUUUAAAAUAAAAUCAAAACUAAUCCUGGUGGAUACAAACCAUAAAUUAUUCAUGGUAAAAACACCAGCAUUCUCAGAAUCAAUUGGUCUGUGGCUGUAAGCAUACCUGCACUUUAUGUCACCUAUACCUGUACCCUUGCUCCUGCUCUGGGACAUGUGCAAAGACACAACAGUCAGCUAACAGAAAGGCAGAAUAGCAGCAAAAGAUUUUAUGCCAUCAGGAGACCUUGGCUUCCACCUGGAGUAGAAGAUGCCUUUGGAGGCUGCAAGCAGUUGGAGCCAAGGUACACAUGAUCAGUGCCAGGCCUGGGCCUGCUCUACUCCUGUUACUUCAGCCCUUGCUGAAUAGCCAGGAGGAAAUGUGAUCUGCAGAGCAGUGCAGCUCUUAGUCACAAUCCCACUGCAGCAUGUCUGUUUACCAUGAGCUUCAAGUAAACUGUUGUUUCAAGGGGACACACAUGUAUUUAAUAUUGUCAGGUCAUGUUCUCAUGUUUUUCUUAAGAUUCAUCAAGGCUAAAACUUCCUUUAAAUAAAAAAAACUGAAACUCAAAGGUAAAGGAGUGACUUCUGAACACCUUAGAACAGAUCUCUAUGUUUUCUGUUCCUUUAUCUGAGCAUGUAAGAAGGCAACAUCUCCUCUCCAUCCUUGAUCAAGAAGGAAGUCUGUUAGAAGUACAGCUGUGUGUGCUAUCCACCAGCAGUGCUGGCAACUUUUCUGUGGUGAGCAGGGAGAAUCUUUGGGGAUUUUGGCUCACCUGGCUUCUGUAUUUUCCAGUUUUCAGUCCCAGGAAUACCUGUAAGAUUUGCCCCCAGAGGUAAGAUCCCAGAGCAUGUUUUGUAUCAUACAUGAAUAAAGCUAAAAACCAAUUUUCCAUUUCCAUGUAUUAUUAGGAGACACAUGCUUUGUAAUUUUUUACAGUUUCCCCCCUAUUGCUAAAGGUGCUGUAUUUUAUCUUCUAAAAAAUUCAACCACACCA
Molecule: long non-coding RNA, 2995 nt
Organism: Haemorhous mexicanus (house finch)
Lineage: Eukaryota; Metazoa; Chordata; Aves; Passeriformes; Fringillidae
Exons: 2
Source: RefSeq, a predicted model, not a curated record